ACUGCGGUUCUGAGCGCGCUGUCCGCGCCCACCUGACAGCUGCUCGCGACGUGUUGUUAGCC
Molecule: small RNA, 62 nt
Filed under: Xanthomonas oryzae pv. oryzae
Lineage: Bacteria; Pseudomonadati; Pseudomonadota; Gammaproteobacteria; Lysobacterales; Lysobacteraceae
Description: sX9
Rfam family: Xanthomonas sRNA sX9
Source: RNAcentral